Molecule: ribosomal RNA, 480 nt
Filed under: uncultured bacterium
Lineage: Bacteria
Description: partial 16S ribosomal RNA
Rfam family: Bacterial small subunit ribosomal RNA
Source: RNAcentral
GACGAACGCUGGCGGCGUGCUUAACACAUGCAAGUCGAGCGGAAAGGCCACUUCGGUGGUACUCGGGCGGCGAACGGGUGAGUAACACGUGAGUAAUCUGCCCUUGGCUUUGGGAUAGCCACCGGAAACGGUGAUUAAUACCGGAUAUGACCACUCUAGGCAUCUAGUGGUGGUGGAAAGUUUUUCGGCCAGGGAUGUGCUCGCGGCCUAUCAGCUUGAUGGUGAGGUAAUGGCUCACCAUGGCUUCGACGGGUAGCCGGCCUGAGAGGGUGACCGGUCACACUGGGACUGAGACACGGCCCAGACUCCUACGGGAGGCAGCAGUGGGGAAUAUUGGACAAUGGGCGGAAGCCUGAUCCAGCAACGCCGCGUGAGGGAUGACGGCCUUCGGGUUGUAAACCUCUUUCAGCAGGGACGAAGCGCGAGUGACGGUACCUGCAGAAGAAGCACCGGCCAACUACGUGCCAGCCGCCGCAGUAA